AACCAGCAGCACCCAGUGGCCAGCAGCGUACUCUUUCACUUCUUCUUGGGUGACUUUGUGGAAUGCUCCAAUGUGACAUCUCCCUGUGAACGCCUUUCCUGACACCCUAAAAAGUGUCAGGAAUUUCCAGCAAGUUCCAGAGAGCAGGUUUCCAGCAAGUUUGGUCAGUAUGACACCACAGCAAUAUCUCUGCCAUUCAUUGAACUUGGAUUCUUGCCUCUUCAAUGAGAGAUGUUCAAGAAAAACAACUUCUGUGGAAGAAGAAGAUAGGAGCCCAGGUCCUGUGUUUCACCAAGACAGCCGUGCAAAGCAGACGCUGCCAAAAAGGUGCAAAGUGGUUUGUCAGCUCUUCUGCAUGUUCUAACAAAUUAGACAUGCAUCCCAAAAGGUUUCCUAGACUUUCCAUCACCACCAGUGAAUUCUGAGUGACAAUAGUGUAGAAUUUGGAAGAAUGGAAGAGAAACUGAAGUAGAGAGAUGGUGAAAGAGAAGAAAAAAUUAAGAAAGAUGCUUGCAAAAAUACUGCUGUGGGUCCUGAGAUGAGGAUUCUGGGAGGGCUGAAACGGAUUCCCCUGACAGCUCCCUUCGAGUUCCUGUUCAUCUGAAGUACACCACCCUUCUAGAUAUGCUGUCACUUUCCUUCUGCAGAGCCACAGUGGUGUCCUGUCUUCUCAGACCUCUUCUCACCUCAAAUCACUUAGGACACGGCCACCAGACAGGUUUGGGAUUUCAGAACUUUUCAGAUGUUAGAAAGUUCUUUUCUAAAUGUGAUAAGGAGUUACAGAAUCAUAAAAUGGAAGCAGAGUUAAACUCAGACAUGUGGGCACUCAAGGCGAUUAGGAGUUUUCUGCAAUGAGAAAGGGAUCAGACUGAUCCUUAAGACUUUAUGCAACCCCAGAAUAUUGCAGCCACCUGCAUGCUGAAGGUGUCAGAGUGUUCUCACUGCUGCCUAUAGGAGGGUCUUCAGCCUCCAGUCAUUCAAAGUACCAGGCUGACCUGUGACUGCUUCGGCCAACUGAAUAGGGAAGAGUGAUGCUGUGCUGUUUCCAGGCCUGUUCUUUAAAAGGACUUGGAAGCUUCUUCCUUGGCCUCUUUGUGCCUGAGUUGCUGUAUAAGAAUCUGACUACCUUGCUGGAGAGACGCUGUGGAGAAGACUUGACCUUAUAUGCAGAGGUAGAGGGGCCCUGGUUAGUCCAGCCAUCUAGCCAUCCUGUCAAAAUAGCAGGAGUAUGAUGGCCAAUAGAUCCAAAACCUAUCCUAUAUCUACAUCUUGGUGGCCACAUUAAUCUGACAUCUGACAGCAAGAGCAAUGUUUGGGUUCACUGGAAAUCUUUGUGAAGUACGAGUGAAGUCCUUGUGAAGUCAGAGUUUCCUCUUCAUGCCUCUACUCCUAUGCAGUUUGACCUCUGAGUAUGCAGCUGGUGAUAGAUGGAAACCCUUGUUCAUAAGCUUUGUGGCACUGUCGGCAGGAUGAGGGGACUUCUGGAUCCUCACUGGUCACUGUGGCAGAGUGGUUGGUGUUGUCUGCUCCCUAGACAGGAACCCACUGAAGAAUCUGACAUUUUUUGAUAUGCUGGCUUUCAUUGUUACAGCCCAUCAUCCCAGCCAUCAAUCCAGGACAUGGGGUCCGUGUCCAUGGUGGGAAGGAGGAAGAGGAAGCUGGCUUUGUUCUGACCUUGGGCUUCUUCUGCUCCACCAGUACUUUCUGUGGGGGAAAUAGGUAAAGAAAUGGCUGUUCAGAUGAGAAGAUGUGUCAGUAAACUUCUGCUACAGUGAUGCUGCAAAACAAACCACUGGUGACUUUCAGUGGCACAUAGCAAUAAACAUUUAUUUAGCUCAGGGAUUGACAGUUUUUUUUUUUUUAAAAGGGCCAAAUAGUAAAUAUUUUAGGUGUUUCAGGCCAUACAGUCUCUGAAUUCUGGCCUUGUAGCACAACAGUAGCCUUAGAUGCUAUGCAAAUGGAGGAGCAUGACUGUGUUCCAAUAAAACUUUAUUUAUGGACACU
This 2004-nucleotide long non-coding RNA is filed under the name Pongo abelii (Sumatran orangutan). RNAcentral's name for it is "lincRNA". The record is from RNAcentral. Lineage: Eukaryota; Metazoa; Chordata; Mammalia; Primates; Hominidae.